GACGAACGCUGGCGGCGUGCCUAAUACAUGCAAGUAGAACGCACAGUUUAUACCGUAGCUUGCUACACCAUAGACUGUGAGUUGCGAACGGGCGAGUAACGCGUAGGUAACCUGCCUGGUAGCGGGGGAUAACUAUUGGAAACGAUAGCUAAUACCGCAUAAUAUUAAUUAUUGCAUGAUAAUUAAUUGAAAGGUGCAAUUGCACCACUACCAGAUGGACCUGCGUUGUAUUAGCUAGUAGGUGAGGUAACGGCUCACCUAGGCGACGAUACAUAGCCGACCUGAGAGGGUGAUCGGCCACACUGGGACUGAGACACGGCCCAGACUCCUACGGGAGGCAGCAGUAGGGAAUCUUCGGCAAUGGACGAAAGUCUGACCGAGCAACGCCGCGUGAGCGAAGAAGGUUUUCGGAUCGUAAAGCUCUGUUGUAAGAGAAGAACGGGUGUGAGAGUGGAAAGUUCACACUGUGACGGUAUCUUACCAGAAAGGGACGGCUAACUACGUG
This 505-nucleotide ribosomal RNA is filed under the name uncultured bacterium. RNAcentral describes it as "partial 16S ribosomal RNA". It matches the Rfam family "Bacterial small subunit ribosomal RNA", at positions 28 to 507 of the family's 1533-position model. The record is from RNAcentral.